UUUGGGAGUGAAUCUUGCGGAUUUGGAAAUGUGUUUUGAGGAUUUGGAAAUGUGUUUUGAGGAUUUGGGAAUGGAUUAGAAGGUGGGUUCUGUGGGGUUACAGAUGGAUUUUGUGGAUGGUAGACGUUUGGAUUAUUUUCACGAUUAGUAUUUUGGACAAAUGGAGGAGCAGAGCCGGAUGAUACGUUAUUCGGCUGAUC
This 200-nucleotide long non-coding RNA is filed under the name Capsicum annuum. RNAcentral's name for it is "long non-coding RNA (CANN_LNC019814)". Lineage: Eukaryota; Viridiplantae; Streptophyta; Magnoliopsida; Solanales; Solanaceae. The record is from RNAcentral.